This 279-nucleotide ribosomal RNA is filed under the name uncultured bacterium. Its description in RNAcentral is "partial 16S ribosomal RNA". It matches the Rfam family "Bacterial small subunit ribosomal RNA", at positions 506 to 784 of the family's 1533-position model. The record is from RNAcentral.
UGCCAGCCGCCGCGGUAACACGGGGGGCGCAAGCGUUAUUCGGAAUUAUUGGGCGUAAAGGGCGCGCAGGCGGUUCGUUAAGUCUGAUGUGAAAGCCCGGGGCUCAACCCCGGAAGUGCAUUGGAAACUGGCGAACUUGAGUACGGGAGAGGAAAGUGGAAUUCCGAGUGUAGGGGUGAAAUCCGUAGAUAUUCGGAGGAACACCAGUGGCGAAGGCGGCUUUCUGGACCGAUACUGACGCUGAGAUUCGAAAGCGUGGGGAGCAAACAGGAUUAGAUA